Molecule: non-coding RNA, 418 nt
Organism: Paramuricea clavata
Lineage: Eukaryota; Metazoa; Cnidaria; Anthozoa; Malacalcyonacea; Plexauridae
Source: the annotation of a GenBank genome assembly
GUAGGCUACGGUACCGGAUAUCAUAUCCAGGCUCAGGGCUGCCGAGAGAAUUUGUUGGGCCUGGGGCAAAUCUUCUUUGGGGGCCUCAUGACUAGACCUUAACUAGAUUGCAUGUGGAGCUACUGUAAGGGGUCCUCAAUUUAAAGAAUGCUCUAACCUAUUCAAUUUUAGGCUCUUAAUCUCAAGUUAGGACCCUAUUCCCCCUCUCGGCAGAUAGUGGAUAGUAAAAUAAUCUUACUAUCCAGUAUUUUGGAAGAAACCAGCAUUGACCUUUGAGAUUUGUGAGCAAGGCUUUGGCAAUACCCUUGUUUAGAGUAAAACUCUUUUUUAUGAUUUCACAUAUCUUUUGAAGUCAAAGUAUUGUAAACACCCUCACUUUAUAACCAAUUAAAAUAAUUAUUUAUCUUUAAAAAUGAAA